This 503-nucleotide ribosomal RNA is filed under the name uncultured bacterium. Its description in RNAcentral is "bacterial SSU rRNA". It matches the Rfam family "Bacterial small subunit ribosomal RNA", at positions 28 to 511 of the family's 1533-position model. The record is from RNAcentral.
GACGAACGCUGGCGGCAUGCCUAAUACAUGCAAGUCGAACGCUGAAGCACUCUGCUUGCAGAGUGCGGAUGAGUGGCGAACGGGUGAGUAACACGUGGGAAAUCUGCCUAGGAGUGGGGGAUAACAUUCGGAAACGGAUGCUAAUACCGCAUAUCUUUUUGAACCGCAUGGUUCUUAAACGAAAGACGGCUUCGGCUGUCGCUCUUAGAUGAUCCCGCGGCGUAUUAGUUAGUUGGUGGGGUAAAGGCCUACCAAGACCAUGAUACGUAGCCGACCUGAGAGGGUGAUCGGCCACACUGGGACUGAGACACGGCCCAGACUCCUACGGGAGGCAGCAGUAGGGAAUCUUCCACAAUGGGUGAAAACCUGAUGGAGCAAUGCCGCGUGAAUGAAGAAGGUCUUCGGGAUCGUAAAGUUCUGUUAUUAGAGAAGAACAAGUCAAGGAGUAACUGUCUUGACUUUGACGGUACCUAACCAGAAAGUCACGGCUAACUACGUGCCAG